Molecule: long non-coding RNA, 583 nt
Filed under: Nicotiana benthamiana
Lineage: Eukaryota; Viridiplantae; Streptophyta; Magnoliopsida; Solanales; Solanaceae
Description: long non-coding RNA (NBEN_LNC013046)
Source: RNAcentral
GUGUUCUUCAGCUUAAUCUUCAUGUUUUCAUGGUAUCAGAGCCGAAAAAUCUUCUGAUCCUUCUCUGUUAUGUGUUGUCGAUACUUGCUGAAGCUUUUGCUGAAGUUUUUCUUCGGUUAUCUGAGAAAAAUACUGUUCGUUUAUUUUUCGAUGAAUGUUAAUCGGAUAAUCGGAACUUUUCUGACUGUUUGAGGCUCCGAUCAUGUAUCAGUAGAUGUUUUUGGGUGGUUUUCCGACAUCUUAGUGUCUUAUUCCGGUGAGUUCUUCAAAAUCUAAGGUUUUCCGACUUUCGGACCAAGGGUUUUGAUGUUAUCCGAUGAUUUUACCUUCGGUCGAUAGACGUUUUGGGUAAGUUUCCGACGUUUGUGACCUGAUUCUGGUGAGUUUCCGUUUAUCUGCAAUUUCCGGUGACCGGACUUAGUUUCAUCCGGUGGUUGAAGGCCGUUCUUCUCCGGUCGCGAAGAAGGAGGGUAGCACUUUCUCUGUUCUGAGUGUUGUAUAUGUUGCAUGCCAGUACUGGUUUGAUUGUGGUCUAUUCAUUGAAACUAUUUCUGAGUUGUUAAGUUUGUUCAUUAUUCAUGGC